RNAcentral lists this transfer RNA (74 nucleotides) under Bacillus cereus. RNAcentral describes it as "tRNA-Lys". It matches the Rfam family "tRNA". From Rfam's summary of the family: Transfer RNA (tRNA) molecules are approximately 80 nucleotides in length. Their secondary structure includes four short double-helical elements and three loops (D, anti-codon, and T loops). Lineage: Bacteria; Bacillati; Bacillota; Bacilli; Caryophanales; Bacillaceae. The record is from RNAcentral.
GAGCCAUUAGCUCAGUUGGUAGAGCAUCUGACUUUUAAUCAGAGGGUCGAAGGUUCGAGUCCUUCAAUGGCUCA